UCUCCGUUGGUGAACCAGCGGAGGGAUCAUUACAGAGUUGCAAAACUCCAAAACCCUUGUAAACAUACCCGUUACAGUUGCUUCGUUGAGCGGCCCCAGGGCACGGCCGCAGCCUCUUCCCACGAGGCGCCCGCCGGAGGUAUAUAACUCUUUGUCUUAUGAUAUCCCUGAGAAAAUUUAUAAUAAGUCAAAACUUUUAACAACGGAUCUCUUGGUUCUG
RNAcentral lists this unclassified non-coding RNA (220 nucleotides) under plant metagenome. Its description in RNAcentral is "partial contains small subunit ribosomal RNA, internal transcribed spacer 1, and 5.8S ribosomal RNA". The record is from RNAcentral.